Long non-coding RNA from Anolis carolinensis (green anole), 1404 nucleotides. RefSeq lists it as uncharacterized. NCBI's taxonomy places the organism in Eukaryota, Metazoa, Chordata, Lepidosauria, Squamata, Anolidae. The transcript has 2 exons. The record is from RefSeq and is a predicted model, not a curated record.
UUGCUUAUGUGAUGUAUUGUAUAUUUGUUUUGAAUAUGCAGCAUUGAAUAUUGCCAACUAAGCCACCCUGAGUCCCCUUCGGGGUGGGAGAGAGCAGGAUAGAAAUAUAUAUAGAAUAAAAAUGUUGUUUAACAUUUACAUGAAGCCACUGGGAGAGAUCAUCCGGAGUUUCAGGGUGAGGUGUCAUCUGUACGCAGAUGAUGUCCAGCUCUGUCACUCCUUCCCAACUGUCACUAAAGAGGCUGUUCAGGUCCUGAACCGGUGUCUGGCCGCUGUGUUUGACUGGAUGAGGCCGAACAAAUUGAAAUUGAAUCCAGACAAGACAGAGGUCCUCCUGGUCAGUCGUAAGGCUGAACAGGGAAUAGGGUUAGUGUUAUGAUUGAGCCUCAUGGCUCUGCUACUGGCAGACGUGGGCGUAAGACUCCUCGAGAGUCAGAUACUCUCGAGGAGCGAGAAAGAAAGAGGCUGCGAGAUAUCUUUGCAGAACCAUCUGACGAAGAGUCUUUUGAGGGGUUUACGGAGAGAAUGGAGGAAGAGCUGGUUAGCUCGGAAGAGGAUGAGAUGGAUUGGACUCGGGUAAGGGAGGAAUUGGGUGCCACUGGCAAUGAUGGGAUGGAAGAUGAUUGGGGACCUUCAGGACUAGACCCAUGGACAAGCUGGAGGGAUGGGACGGGAUCCACAGCUGGGGAUGCUGUGGGGCGUAGUCAGAGGUGUUCCAGUUCUGAUGAGGAAAGUGAUGAGGAAACGCCCGGGUUAAGGAGAACAGCUGAUAGUGAUGAGGACUUGUAACUGGCAUAAAAUGGGGUUUGGGAGCAAUAGCAAAUUGCGUUGGGCAAGGUAAUCUGGACAAACGCUUGGGAUCUGUGUGGGACGUUUUCCUGAAGACGGGUGUGUUUCGUGUGCUGAUUACCUUUGACCUUCCGUCGUCUUCUUGACGGACGCCAUCUGCUGCUCUGGAUUUACGGACUGAACUGACUACGGGCUCGGAUUCUCCUACCUGGACUUGGUGAACUACAAACGUCUGCUUCUGCCUAUCGACCUUCGGAAAGAACUGGGACUACUCUACUGCUUCAAUCCUCGGCUGUUGUGUUUGUAUUGGGAAUUUGCCUGCUGUGUGGAGGAGUGACUUCUAAGUUACUCAAAACAUAGUGCUGGCAGCAGAGAGGCAUCUGCUGCCAAUUAGUUACAUUCUUUUGAACUCUUUGUUCCCCAGCUUCUGUUUUGUUUAUUCCCAGGCUGAAGCAAGCUGUUUUGAUUUUACCCGGAUUAAACUCCGGUUUAAUCCGGUUUAUCUUUUGAACGUUUUUCUUGCCCCUUUUUGCUUUUUAAGGCUAAUGUUGCCUAGCCCUUGUCUUUUACGGGCAUUUUGAGUUCUGUAAAUCCAAUAAACUCUGUUAUCUUUGA